This is a non-coding RNA of Pelobates cultripes (western spadefoot toad), 234 nucleotides long. Lineage: Eukaryota; Metazoa; Chordata; Amphibia; Anura; Pelobatidae. The record is from the annotation of a GenBank genome assembly.
CACACACAUAAUCUGGCAAACCCAGUUCAUCCCAAUGGGCACACAGCACAGCCUCAGCAAAUAGAAAAUACUGAUUUUUUUCAGUGAAAUAAACAUUUUGUUGUAACAAUAGCAAGUCAGAAAAACAAAACAACACGCUCUGUUAGAAUAAUCUUAUCAGGAUAAACUAGACUCCUGCCUUCCAGUUACACAGACUCUUAAUAAAAUUUGCUUUAGAAUUUGCAAACUUUUAAU